CCGGCGCACGGGUGAGUAACACGUAUCCAACCUGCCGUCUACUCUUGGCCAGCCUUCUGAAAGGAAGAUUAAUCCAGGAUGGGAUCAUGAGUUCACAUGUCCGCAUGAUUAAAGGUAUUUUCCGGUAGACGAUGGGGAUGCGUUCCAUUAGAUAGUAGGCGGGGUAACGGCCCACCUAGUCAACGAUGGAUAGGGGUUCUGAGAGGAAGGUCCCCCACAUUGGAACUGAGACACGGUCCAAACUCCUACGGGAGGCAGCAGUGAGGAAUAUUGGUCAAUGGGCGAUAGCCUGAACCAGCCAAGUAGCGUGAAGGAUGACUGCCCUAUGGGUUGUAAACUUCUUUUAUAAAGGAAUAAAGUCGGGUAUGCAUACCCGUUUGCAUGUACUUUAUGAAUAAGGAUCGGCUAACUCCGUGCCAGCAGCCGCGGUAAUACGGAGGAUCCGAGCGUUAUCCGGAUUUAUUGGGUUUAAAGGGAGCGUAGAUGGAUGUUUAAGUCAGUUGUGAAAGUCUGCGGCUCAACCGUAAAAUUGCAGUUGAUACUGGAUGUCUUGAGUGCAGUUGAGGCAGGCGGAAUUCGUGGUGUAGCGGUGAAAUGCUUAGAUAUCACGAAGAACU
Molecule: ribosomal RNA, 617 nt
Filed under: uncultured Bacteroidales bacterium
Lineage: Bacteria; Pseudomonadati; Bacteroidota; Bacteroidia; Bacteroidales
Description: bacterial SSU rRNA
Rfam family: Bacterial small subunit ribosomal RNA
Source: RNAcentral